RNAcentral lists this ribosomal RNA (614 nucleotides) under uncultured Arcobacter sp. Its description in RNAcentral is "bacterial SSU rRNA". It matches the Rfam family "Bacterial small subunit ribosomal RNA", at positions 67 to 684 of the family's 1533-position model. Lineage: Bacteria; Pseudomonadati; Campylobacterota; Epsilonproteobacteria; Campylobacterales; Arcobacteraceae. The record is from RNAcentral.
CGCGGGAUUUCUCCAGAGAUUAGCUUGCUUUAUUUGUCAGCUAAGUGGCGCACGGGUGAGUAAUGUAUAGAUAACCUGCCCUUAAGAAAGGAAUAACAGUUGGAAACGACUGCUAAUGCCCUAUAUGCCUUUAAUACAUAAGUAUGCAAGGGAAACGCUUUAGUGCUUAAGGAUGGGUCUGUAUGGUAUCAGCUUGUUGGUGAGGUAAUGGCUCACCAAGGCUAUGACGCCUAACUGGUUUGAGAGGAUGAUCAGUCACACUGGAACUGAGACACGGUCCAGACUCCUACGGGAGGCAGCAGUGGGGAAUAUUGCACAAUGGACGAAAGUCUGAUGCAGCAACGCCGCGUGGAGGAUGACACAUUUCGGUGCGUAAACUCCUUUUAUAUAGGAAGAUAAUGACGGUACUAUAUGAAUAAGCACCGGCUAACUCCGUGCCAGCAGCCGCGGUAAUACGGAGGGUGCAAGCGUUACUCGGAAUCACUGGGCGUAAAGAGCGUGUAGGCGGGUAUAUAAGUCAGAAGUGAAAUCCUAUAGCUUAACUAUAGAACUGCUUUUGAAACUGUAUACCUAGAAUGUGGGAGAGGUAGAUGGAAUUUCUGGUGUAGGGGUAA